Molecule: long non-coding RNA, 8429 nt
Filed under: Homo sapiens (human)
Lineage: Eukaryota; Metazoa; Chordata; Mammalia; Primates; Hominidae
Description: HSALNT0387055
Source: RNAcentral
UCCAAGAAGAAAGACAAAAAAAAAUUUUAAGAAAAGGAGUGAUGAGAUGGCGUCAUUUCGACUGCCUGGGCAUUAGCAGGCCUCCCCCACCUGGUUCAGUUUCAGCUGGAUCUUGGCAUAGCAAAGGGUACUGGGCUGAAAGCACAUGACUGUAAAAAGUAUAAUGUGACUAUCCUGGAAAAACGAGUUCAUAAACUCCGCUUGUAAAGCUGGUGUAACUUUUGACACCUCAUACAGGGACAGGCUUGGAAAAUAAAUACACAUAUCAAUACGUCGUGGCAGGCGCCUCUUCCACACAGAGAAAAAGAUGGUAUCCUUCUGAACGUGCAAGAACAAAUUCAUCCAACCCCUCAACUUCUCCAUGUAUAAUGUAAUUCGAUACCAAAUCGUUUGUAGAACCUUCUGUCUGACAAACCAACCACUCUUAAUUGUGGUCCAUCAGAGCCCUAGCUGCAUCCACUAAUUUUCAGCUGAUGAGAGGGAGAGGGGUUGCAAGAGAGGACCGGAAAAGGUAACUGAAGAUAAGCUCGCCCCCACAAGGAAAACACUAAGGAACUUUGAUUGUGGGGGAAAUGGCUUUCCGACCCGACCCAAAGCUUAUCAUUUUUCUGCCCCUGCAGGGUUUACAUUGUGACCAUGCAGGGUGCUUACUGGAGGAGUUUCCCUCAAAUGGUCUGGUUUGCAAUCACUAUGCUUGCAUUCUAGGAUCCCUGGGAGAGUCAGGUCCAUACUGAGAAAUAGGGUCCCAAGGAAGGUGUUACGACGUGAAGAAUCUGCCAUAAGGCAGACUUGGGUUUGUUGUUGUCAUUGUUGUUUGGUUUUAGCUUCUUCAGUGUCAGGAUAUCUAGUAACAAUGGAGUUGGUCUGAAAACUGAAUGGUCAAAUGCAGUCAAGUGAUACGACUCUGGGCGGGGUGUGGACCGUGAGUGAGACAAAGACUUGGGUUUUGAUAAUAACUGGCUGCUUGAUGAUACUGGACAAGUUCCACUGGUCCUGAAUUUGAAUAACUGACAUGACUUGAACUUAAUAGUAGCUGGUUUGUUACCUCCCCAAUCUCCCUCCAUUAUCAUGCCCACUCCAAAUAGCCAGAUAUUAUCCUGGAUUCAGCUGUUUCUUUUCCCAUUGAUUUGUGUGGCUCAAGUCUAAUGGAAAUGAGUUCAUGUCAUCCAAAUUUCCUUUCACUGAAUUAUUAUUCCUAAUAACCCUGAGCUUAGCACCUGGCACAUUUAUCUAAACAACUUCAAGGGGUUUAUCUGGCUCUUCUGCAUCCCAUGUGGGGAAAAGGGAAGCAGAAGUGCCUCUAAAGACAAAUUGGAGAAUUGAGAUGCUCAUCCAGCUAACUCAAGCCAAGUAUUAUUUUGGCCUGGAAUCUUAGAGUUCUGGUGGAGAUGGUGUUUUGUAUCAACUUCCAGAUAUCUGUCAUAUAUUUUCAUUUUACCUUGCAGCUGCCAAAACGACCAGAGUGGCCAAGUGACUUGCCAUUAACUCCCGAGUGGUGGGAGAAUCCAGCUCACCCAUUUCAAGUCCAGCCUCCCGCCCUCUAUGCCACAAUGGUUAUACUAUUCAGCAUUCAAACGUCAUGACAGACUGGCCUUUCACUGUUCUGCCAAGCGUGAGGAAAGACCAAAGCAGUCCGUUUGGGAAAGCAAAAAGCAGAAUUCUUCCUAACCUGAUAAAAUAUUUUGCCACUAUGACCUACUGUAAUGAUACCACGUUGCACUCUUGCAUUACUGGAAUGGUAUUUUUGCUAAGAAAUUCUGCAGUCCCAUUGAUUCAGAAUGCCAUUGUUGCAGGAGCUGGGGACCUACCUUUUCCUUCCACGGAAUCUAAAGGCAAUUACAACUGGCUUCAUUUCAUGCCAACCUACAUUUGGCUACAAUGCUGAGAGCCAUACCUUUUUGAAAAGCCUAACUUUUUAUCAGGAGAUGGCUUUGAUUCCUUUGCCACUAGGCUUGGGGUGAUUUACCAUCUAAAUUCCAUCACAAGUGGCUCUGGCUUUGUAGAACACAGUACACAGGAGGGGCACCCGAAAGCAAAGACGACCUUCUCUACUCCAAAAAUCAAUCGUCCACCUUUGGCAAAUUCUCCUUCUCAGAUUCAUGCUUGGUGCUCAUGGGUACUCACUCUACUUUCCUCCCUUGCUGGACAAUUAAGCAGUAACAAUAUCUUGUUGGUCCCAUACACACCACACCUUUGGUCUCUUGGAGAAUUUUCAGCCGUACCAAUGGCAACCUCUGAGUGACAUCUUAAUAUGAUCAGAUGUGAUGACAGUUUAGUAACAGGUUCUCAUUUUUGGCUCACCAGCUUUUCGGCCUACAUAUCAUCAGAAUAAGACUGAGGCACAUUAGUGAAAUCUCAAUAGUAAACAAGCAGGUACUGCCAAUAAAAGAGAAAGCAUUCUUAAACUGAUUAAAAAAAAAAUUUAAAGAGCACUUUAAUCACCAUCAGAUGACUUUCAUUCAUACCACCUUUUGGGGCAUCAGUUCAUAAUGCAGAAAAGAUGAAAGAGCCAUCUAAAGGAAAUAAUGUUAACAACUCCGUUAUAAAAUAUCUGAAGCAAUACCUUGCCAGUUGUCAUCAAUGCUUACUGAUCCAUUGUGAUAAAUAAUAAUACCUUGACAUACAAACACUGGCUGGAGCUAUGGGUUCCCCUAAACGAUUUUUUUUUUUUGAGAAUCAAUCAUUUAUCAGAAGCCUGUAGGUUGUAUAUGGUUGCUAAUCAUGGGAAACGGGGGAGGUGUCUAUCCCGCAGCAAUGGCAAUGAGUUAGGUUGUUGACGACACAGGACUGAGAAUUUCUGGGAAGCCCAGAAGAAUCUUUUUAAUCAUGCCCGAAUGCCAUUUCCGAUCUAGUCAAACAUUUGUGAGCUGCCAGAGGAGAACUGUGCAAUCAAUCUUGAGAGUAUAUGUAAAAUUACCCAGGACUCUUGUUUGGGAUUAAGAGUAUCUUGGUAAUAAGGAUUCAUCAUUCUCUUUCAAAAAUCAUCUGUCAGAUUUGCAGCACAAUCUUCAACUACAGAAAGGUGGGAUUUAGAAAGCAGUUGCUGUUUAUUUAUAGUUGAGGCCCUCAGAUCUAAAUUAUCCAUCCUUCCAAAACUCGGUGUUGGGAUGAAAAUGUUAAGUAGCUGCUUUUCAUCAACAUUCAUUUGAUAACUGCUAGCCAUCAAUUUAUAGUUGUCAGCACAGAAUACAAAUGCAUAUUGACUCCUUUAAAGGAAAGGGUACAGAGGUUUCUGAUAAACAAUAUAUGGUAAAGAAAAAAAAAGCACCCACAUAUUGAUAUUUGUAAUGCAUUGGUUAGUACUCUAAUAUAAUACUCACAGGGACACAUGUUACACCGUGUUUUGCUUUCAGGUUUUUCUAUUUUAAAAUGCAUGCUCAUUUAAAAGAAAGAGGAGAUUCCUGUCUUAAAGUAGACUUAACUAUGAGAUAUAUAAAAAAUAGACACAAUAUCAUGGCAUAUCUAUAUAUUCAAUGAUUGUGAGAGAGUAGAUGUUCUAAGAUUGCUUUCUUACAGGGACAUUGCACAGCAAAUGCUGAAUUAAUCCACUUAUGCAAAAAGUAGAGUUAUGAAAGGAAUGAACCCUGGAAGUUAGAUUAGGCUUGGAACACCAAGAGCAGGGAAGGAGAACAGCCCUUUUGAAGACGGCAGUGUUCCCAUGACUAACGUCCCAGGACAAAGUGGUGAUCUGAAGUGAGCAGGUUUGGCUAAAAGGAAAGACACAUACCUCUUCAAACCCUGCCUACUUCCAUUGUUACUCAUCUGGUGUCUGUUGGACAAAGCAAAUACUUCUCAAAUGCAAAGCCAGCCACCUUAUCCAUUGACUCUGUGAAUACACCACUAGGAACAGAAUCAUUUAUCAGAGAGCUACAUUUAUCAGAGAGCUGCUGCGGUGGAGAUGAGGGGGUGAGCCCUCAUGUCACAGGUGGAAUAGAUGGCCGUCUACACGCCCUGUCUUUCCCUGUCUCCCAGUAACACUCCCCCAGGAGAGGCUAUAACCACUCUCCCAGAACAGUGCAGAGGUCAUCUCCAGAUACCUCGGUGCUUGGGAUACAGCCAUUCCUCACAAACAAUUACAGCUUCAAUCUCUCAUUGGAAACACAAAUGAAAGCAAACUGCUCCAAAAGGCCACUUGUUCCCUACUCACUAUCCAAGAGCAAUCUUUUAGGGGACACAUUUGCCACAAAUUGCAUUUGUUCAUAAAGUAAUGCAGCCUAUACAGGAAUGAGGCUCAUAGGCCUCCCUGGCUAGGUGACCACACCAGUAAGUCACCCUCUUCUUCCACCGUGAUACUUCUAUAAUGAAAUUAUACAAUUCAAUUUGGAAUAAGUGCUAACCAACGAACACACCAACUUCCACCAAAAUGAUGGGAAGCAGCAGACGAGAACAGAGAUGUCUACUCCAAAGUCCUCAGCCCUGCAAACUGCCCGGCUUUUUCAGUGAGUUGUAGCCAACGAGUACUAUUCAAGUGACAUCAAUGACUAGCAUUUAUUGAGAGGUUACGAUUUGCCAGGCUCUGCAUGGAGAGCUUUGUAAGCAUUGUUGCCUAACCCUCACAGAGCUCUAUGAGCCAGGGACAGUUAGUAUUUCCAUUUAUUUAGAGAGAAGCCUACCUGAUAUCAGAGAUCAAAAGCAACUCGUCCAAAGCCAUACAGAUAAUUACGUAGAGUGAGUGACUUCAGACUCCGUGUCCGUUGGUACAUGAAACCUGCUCCCCAAAUAUGUGACACAAAUAUUUGCACGUGGCCCAUUUCCUCAUCUAUGUCUUCCACGGGGCUCCGGCUUCCUAUGCCUCUCUGCCUGCUCUGCCGCCUUCUCAGCCAGGCCAUGUCUGGCCAUGAGGUGAUGCCCUAACAUGGCCUAAAAUGAAAUGUGGGGGCUGUCGUGUGUUCACCCGAGAAAUGUUAAAAGGAGAUUUUUUUUUCCAUUGAUUUACUCAUGGAGCUAAAUUGAAAUGAUAUCCAUUUGGAUGAACAAAAAUGAAGACUCAGCACCCCCUUCGAUGAUCCAACAGCAAGUGACCCUUACUAAAAAGGUCGUCCGAUUCAAAAUGCCAUCUCCAGGUGCCAGAUUUGCAGAACUAAGAAACCUACUCUUUGAUGAUAGAAUUUUUUCAAAGCACCGACAUCCCAUACAAGUGAAGUGGACACAACCCCCAUCUUAUCAGUUCCCACGCAUGUAGGUGCGGGCUCUGGAGUGUUUCAUCAGGUUUGCAGAGAAAAUACUGAUCCAUCCCUCUGACUCCCUCUCCUCCAAUGAUUCCUAACACAGUCAUUCCUACAAAUUCCUGACAACUGACUCCCACAAAGGCCUUCAACAAUCCAGCCUUAGACACAUGCAAAUACUUCCUGUAGGUAUUGAAAUGUAACUUUCUUCAUAAACCUUUGGGAGUUUUGCUAACUCACAGGCUAUUCUUAACCUUUAUUAUAGAAGAGGAAUGCACUCAAUUUCCCAAAAAGAAACAAUGAAGAUGAUCAGGAAAGCAAAUAUUUGUUUUCAGGCUUUAGAAGUGUGAGAAAGUGUUCUGGAGAAUCCAUUUAGAUCCCAUGCCAACUCUUAGCCCUCCAGAAGAGAACAUGCCCUCCCUAACAAAUUAGACGUGGACAAUGUGUUUAGAUGUUGAUCUUUUGCCACAAGGAAAAAUAUUUCUUUGCUAGCAACAGGUUCACAAAGGUAGAAAAACCUCAGGCUCCUUUUCAGUUGCCUCUCCCAUGACAGGUGAAGAGUGUCAUUCCCCAGGUGACACUAGGGACAGUGUCUAUGACAGGGGCUUGAUGGCCGUGGCUCAGAGAGAGUAAAGUGCCAGUCCAUCACCAUAAAUGCAACAGGUUCAAGCACAGACCACAACCACAAAUUACAAGGGACACCUUGAGAGAAACGCAUGCAGGGGGAAGAGUGCCAUGCAGCUUUUAAAUGACAGGCACGUGCUCACAGGCUUCUGUUCAGAGAGAACCUGUGAGCUGUCCUGUGGCCUUUCCUGUUUACGGUGCAGCCAUCCCAAAUAUGAUGCCCCCAAAUCCGAGUCUGGCUAGAAGGAAGUGUCAUACAAAGGCCAUGCCAUUCUCCCUGACAAAAGACAUGAGUUUCUUGCAAGAGCACUAAGAAGUUUUAAGAGGUGGACUCGAAGAGAGGAGAAUGAAUUGGAAAGCCAGCAAGAAUGUGGCUCUUACUCCUCUGUGAAAUAUUUGCAGGAACGAGCCUGGAGACCAGCAGGUUCAGGAUGGAAAGCUGGAAAGAAUUCUUUCCUAAAACUUAAGUUUUAGAGAAAAAUAGGCAGCCAGUCCCAACCACCCAAAGGCGUCCAAAGCCAUGUUUGUUCUGGGAAGGCCAAGGCAUGGGAGGAUGUUAACUUGGGCUAUCAGCAGGAUUGAAGGGCAGGGUGACCUUGGUACGCUCUCAGGGCCUGUGUUUCCAAGUCGACAAACUGUUCUGAGCUUUUCCAUGAAACGAGUGAAGCCCUUUUCAUACCUCCUUCGUGUUCCAGAAUUCUUGCCAUCGAUGUUCCAAAGGAUCUGUGAUAGAUUUAUGUCUAGCCUUAAAUGGGACGAGUUGUAACAUUCAGAAUUAUUUUAUCUUUCUGAGACCUGCUAUUAUUGUGAGACCCUAGACAUGCUUUGCUGGGGUUAGGGUGAGGGUACUCCUAACGAGGGAAGGAAAAAGAAACGGCUUCAAGGCAAUCCAUGUGGGUCAUUACAUGCACACUUGUUCCAUCUUCCAUUUGUGCCUGCCCAAAGCGUUCUAGAACUGACCGGACCUGAGAGGCUGUCUCAUUAGAACUAAGAGAAGGUAUUGUUGAUGAUGUCUUAUAUCCAUGGAAGAAUUCCCUGGGCAUUCCCUCUGAUGCUGCCUGGGAUACCUACAUUGCUCAAAGUACAGUUUCUUUAUGAAUAGGGAUGAAACAUCGCAUUGGGGUAUCUAUUCUUCCAUGGUUGGUUUGAAAUAGCCAAGCAGAAGUGCCAUAGAAAUUUGCCAACAAAAUAAGCAUCUAACUGAUAGUGUCGUCCUUCUACAUGGAACAAAUCUGAUGGCAUGUCACUGAAAUUUUCCAACUGGGCCACCUUGAUGCCCGUGCUAAAGGACUGCUGGGUGUUUAUAAGAUAUAAAAGAAGAUAUUUAGUGUGUGUUUAUUUGAAACAUUUUACAUUUUUACUCUACUUCUUUAACCUCUGUUAUGGUUAUAGCUAGCUCGUGUACUGCGUAUAAAUGUAUGCAUCUGUAUUCGCCAUCUACACCAAAAUAAACCUUUGAAAUUAUUGCCAGGCAGAAUUAAUGAGCUCAGUUCUAACAGCGCAAAGAAUAUCUUCAUACUACAGGUAAAACAAACAGCUUCUCCCUUCCCUUCUUCUGCACAGAAUGGCUCUACGAAGUCUGCCUGCAAAAUUACGUCUUUUAGAAAACCAAGUAGCUGGCUGUUUUGUGAGCAGGGAGGAUUUCAGGACGAACCACAAACAAGCUGUUUGUUUAGAUUUUAAGGUUGACAGUUCAUUUACACGUAUGCCCCAUAAGUAUUCUAUAACAUAGUCCUGAAAAAGCACUGAAGAAAAAAAAAAAAAAAAACACAAGGUCUCCGCUGGGGCCACAUCAUGGGAAGGAAUUAACUCUUAACUCUGCCUUCCAGAAACAAAUUAAGAGGAUGUACUUUGCAAUAAUUCAGAUCUCACAGGUAGGCCCCCAAUGUCCAGCCCCGCUAUUUCAAAUCGGGCAUGUCUGAGUUAGGUGUGUGGAUUUCCAUACAGAGCUCACUGGAACAGACCAUUUCUCAGGUUCCAAGACGCUGGCCUUGUUAAUAUUUCAUUUAGAACAUACUGUGGAGAGUGUCUCAUUUAUAUUACUUCCAUAAUUAAUGGUGAUAGCUUAGGCACUGCCUUUACACAGAGAGAUCUCUUCACAGUGGUCGAUGGGUAAUGAGAAACAAUAGAUAUUUCAUUCACCAGCAGCGUGUUGCUAGUUAGUAGGAAAUGAUCGUGUGUGCUGUUGCUUUAAUUGCCCGGGUAAAUAAUUCUGCCUCGGUGUUAGUGAGCAUUUUAAAGCACUUGAUGCCAAUAGACUAGAAACAAACAAAAAUUAACCUUGAUUAUGCAACACCUUAGCAUAGAAAGUUACAAAGGUAUGUCUUUUUUAAAGUUUGCAUUCUAUCAUGCAAAUAUUAUCUAAAUAUGCAUGUGCUGACUACUCAUCUACUGUAUUUUAGGAAAUACAAUUAGGCUGCCUUUCUCUUCCCCUAUGUAGACUGUAAAUAACUGUAGAUCUUUCUCUUGUUUCCCUAUGUAAAUAUAUGUAAAUACUAACAAGCUAUGCAUGCUGCUAUUCUAGGCAAUUUCAGGUACUUUUAUAAUAUGAAGGCAUGUACUUGAACUCGUUUGUUAACAGAGGGGAAAAAACUCUCUCAAACUCUUUAAAGCUGAAUAGAAAUUAAAGAUUUCUUCCUA